UUACGGCCAUAUCAUGUUGAAACACCGGUUCUCGUACGAUUAUCGAAGUUAAACAACGUUGAGCAUGGUCUAUACAUAGAUGGGUGACUGCUUGCGAAUAGGAGGUGUUGUAAU
This 114-nucleotide ribosomal RNA is filed under the name Acanthosepion pharaonis. The record is from RNAcentral. Lineage: Eukaryota; Metazoa; Mollusca; Cephalopoda; Sepiida; Sepiidae.